This 381-nucleotide ribosomal RNA is filed under the name uncultured bacterium. Its description in RNAcentral is "bacterial SSU rRNA". It matches the Rfam family "Bacterial small subunit ribosomal RNA", at positions 524 to 902 of the family's 1533-position model. The record is from RNAcentral.
GACGGAGGGUGCAAGCGUUGUUCGGAAUCACUGGGCGUAAAGCGCGUGUAGGCGGUUCGAUCAGUCGAGUGUGAAAGCCCGAGGCUCAACCUCGGAAGUGCACUCGAAACUGUCGAGCUUGAGUACGGGAGAGGGAAGUGGAAUUCCUGGUGUAGAGGUGAAAUUCGUAGAUAUCAGGAGGAACACCGGUGGCGAAGGCGGCUUCCUGGACCGAUACUGACGCUGAGACGCGAAAGCGUGGGGAGCAAACAGGGAUUAGAUACCCUGGUAGUCCACGCCGUAAACUGUGAGCACUAGGUGUAGCGGGUAUUGACCCCUGCUGUGCCGACGCUAACGCAUUAAGUGCUCCGCCUGGGGAGUACGGCCGCAAGGUUAAAACUC